Molecule: ribosomal RNA, 254 nt
Filed under: uncultured bacterium
Lineage: Bacteria
Description: partial 16S ribosomal RNA
Rfam family: Bacterial small subunit ribosomal RNA
Source: RNAcentral
GUCGAACCGUGCGAACGUUAUUCGGAAUCACUGGGCUUAAAGCGCGUGUAGGCGGGUGACCGCGUCGGUCGCUUAAAGCCCCCGGCUCAACCGGGGGAUGGGCGCCGAAACGGGUCGCCUGGAGGGGCGUAGGGGGACCUGGAACUUCCGGUGGAGCGGUGAAAUGCGUUGAGAUCGGAAGGAACGCCCGUGGCGAAAGCGGCGCGCUGGACCACUACUGACGCUGAGGAACGAAAGCUAGGGGAGCAAACAGG